RNAcentral lists this small RNA (28 nucleotides) under Bombyx mori (domestic silkworm). RNAcentral's name for it is "ovarian small RNA-31348". The record is from RNAcentral. Lineage: Eukaryota; Metazoa; Arthropoda; Insecta; Lepidoptera; Bombycidae.
UGACACGUGUACGAAGGACCUACAGAUA